GAUUAACGCUGGCGGCGUGCCUAACACAUGCAAGUCGAGCGGCAGCGAGUUUUACACUGAAUUCUGGAAGCUUCUAGUUGAAAGAGAAGAUUAAUUCAAGAAUUUUGUGUAAAAUGUCGGCGAGCGGCGGACGGCUGAGUAACGCGUGGGAACGUACCCCAAAGUGAGGGAUAACGCAUCGAAAGGUGUGCUAAUACCGCAUAUGGUCUUCGGAUUAAAGCCUUCGGGCGCUUUGGGAACGGCCUGCGUAAGAUUAGAUAGUUGGUGGGGUAAUGGCCUACCAAGUCGACGAUCUUUAACUGGUUUGAGAGGAUGAUCAGUCAGACUGGAACUGAGACACGGUCCAGACUCCUACGGGAGGCAGCAGUGAGGAAUCUUCCACAAUGGGCGAAAGCCUGAUGGAGCAACGCCGCGUGCAGGAUGAAGGCCUUCGGGUUGUAAACUGCUUUUAUAAGUGAGGAUUAUGACAGUAACUUAUGAAUAAGGAUCGGCUAACUACGUG
RNAcentral lists this ribosomal RNA (502 nucleotides) under uncultured bacterium. RNAcentral describes it as "partial 16S ribosomal RNA". It matches the Rfam family "Bacterial small subunit ribosomal RNA", at positions 28 to 507 of the family's 1533-position model. The record is from RNAcentral.